CCUACGGGAGGCAGCAGUGAGGAAUAUUGGUCAAUGGACGAGAGUCUGAACCAGCCAAGUAGCGUGAAGGAUGACUGCCCUAUGGGUUGUAAACUUCUUUUAUAUGGGAAUAAAAUGUUCCACGUGUGGGAUUUUGUAUGUACCAUAUGAAUAAGGAUCGGCUAACUCCGUGCCAGCAGCCGCGGUAAUACGGAGGAUCCGAGCGUUAUCCGGAUUGAUUGGGUUUAAAGGGAGCGUAGGUGGAUUGUUAAGUCAGUUGUGAAAGUUUGCGGCUCAACCGUAAAAUUGCAGUUGAAACUGGCAGUCUUGAGUACAGUAGAGGUGGGCGGAAUUCGUGGUGUAGCGGUGAAAUGCUUAGAUAUCACGAAGAACUCCGAUUGCGAAGGCAGCUCACUGGACUGCAACUGACACUGAGGCUCGAAAGUGUGGCUAUCAAACAGGAUUAGAUACCCGUGUAGUC
Molecule: ribosomal RNA, 460 nt
Filed under: uncultured bacterium
Lineage: Bacteria
Description: partial 16S ribosomal RNA
Rfam family: Bacterial small subunit ribosomal RNA
Source: RNAcentral